RNAcentral lists this ribosomal RNA (404 nucleotides) under Actinomycetes bacterium. RNAcentral's name for it is "Actinobacteria bacterium partial 16S ribosomal RNA". It matches the Rfam family "Bacterial small subunit ribosomal RNA", at positions 355 to 776 of the family's 1533-position model. Lineage: Bacteria; Bacillati; Actinomycetota; Actinomycetes. The record is from RNAcentral.
UGGGGAAUAUUGGACAAUGUGCGCAAGCCUGAUCCAGCCAUGCCGCGUGAGUGAUGAAGGCCCUAGGGUUGUAAAGCUCUUUCAUUGUUGAAGAUAAUGACUGUAACCGGAGAAGAAGCCCCGGCUAACUUCGUGCCAGCAGCCGCGGUAAUACGAAGGGGGCUAGCGUUGUUCGGAUUUACCGGGCGUAAAGCGCACGUAGGCGGACUAUUAAGUCAGGGGUGAAAUCCCGGGGCUCAACCCCGGAACUGCCUUUGAUACUGGUAGUCUUGAGUUCGAGAGAGGUGAGUGGAAUUCCGAGUGUAGAGGUGAAAUUCGUAGAUAUUCGGAGGAACACCAGUGGCGAAGGCGGCUCACUGGCUCGAUACUGACGCUGAGGUGCGAAAGCGUGGGGAGCAAACAGG